Molecule: small nucleolar RNA, 208 nt
Filed under: Sciurus vulgaris (Eurasian red squirrel)
Lineage: Eukaryota; Metazoa; Chordata; Mammalia; Rodentia; Sciuridae
Description: Small nucleolar RNA U3 (ENSSVLG00005001546.1)
Rfam family: Small nucleolar RNA U3
About the family: Small nucleolar RNAs (snoRNAs) are involved in the processing and modification of rRNA in the nucleolus.
Source: RNAcentral
AAGAUUAACCCUUCAGGAUCAUUUCUACAGUUUGUUACUAGAGAAUUUUCUGCAAAUGUGUAGUGCAUUGGAAAUCACAAGAAGGCAUCGGAGUGCUCUUUUCUGAUCUUCUCAGCAUGAAAUUGGCCCUUACUAUUGCUUUGGCACUACCAUUUGCUGUCGAUGAUCAUUCUUCCCUUUUUGGAAAGUAAGAGGGAAAGAAUGUGAC